RNAcentral lists this ribosomal RNA (495 nucleotides) under uncultured bacterium. RNAcentral describes it as "partial 16S ribosomal RNA". It matches the Rfam family "Bacterial small subunit ribosomal RNA", at positions 28 to 523 of the family's 1533-position model. The record is from RNAcentral.
GAUGAACGCUAGCGGGAGGCCUAACACAUGCAAGCCGAGCGGUAUUUAUUCUUCGGAAUAGAGAGAGCGGCGUACGGGUGCGGAACACGUGUGCAACCUGCCUUUAUCAGGGGGAUAGUCUUUCGAAAGGAAGAUUAAUACCCCAUAAUAUAUCUGAUGGCAUCAUUAGAUAUUGAAAACUCCGGUGGAUAGAGAUGGGCACGCGCAAGAUUAGAUAGUUGGUGAGGUAACGGCUCACCAAGUCAGUGAUCUUUAGGGGGCCUGAGAGGGUGAGCACCCACACUGGUACUGAGACACGGACCAGACUCCUACGGGAUGCAGCAGUGAGGAAUAUUGGACAAUGGGUGCGAGCCUGAUCCAGCCAUCCCGCGUGAAGGACGACGGUUCUAUGGAUUGUAAACUUCUUUUAUACUGGGAUAAACCUACCCUCGUGAGGGUAGCUGAAGGUACAGUAUGAAUAAGCACCGGCUAACUCCGUGCCAGCGGCCGCGGUAA